This 488-nucleotide ribosomal RNA is filed under the name uncultured bacterium. RNAcentral describes it as "partial 16S ribosomal RNA". It matches the Rfam family "Bacterial small subunit ribosomal RNA", at positions 28 to 523 of the family's 1533-position model. The record is from RNAcentral.
GACGAACGCUGGCGGCGUGCCUAACACAUGCAGGUCGAGCGGAGAAAAUUGAAAGCUUGCUUUUGGUUUUCUUAGCGGCGGACGGGUGAGUAACGCGUGGGCAACCUGCCUAUCACAGGGGGAUAACACAGGGAAACUUGUGCUAAUACCGCAUAACACAACGAGGUAGCAUUACCUUGCUGUCAAAGGAGCAAUCCGGUGAUAGAUGGGCCCGCGUCCAAUUAGCUAGUUGGUGAUGUAACGGACCACCAAGGCGACGAUUGGUAGCCGAACUGAGAGGUUGAUCGGCCACAUUGGGACUGAGACACGGCCCAGACUCCUACGGGAGGCAGCAGUGGGGAAUAUUGCACAAUGGGGGAAACCCUGAUGCAGCAACGCCGCGUGAAGGAUGAAGGUUUUCGGAUUGUAAACUUCUUUAGUCAGGGACGAAUAAAUGACGGUACCUGAAGAAUAAGCCACGGCUAACUACGUGCCAGCAGCCGCAGUAA